AAGUCGUAACAAGGUUUCCGUAGGUGAACCUGCGGAAGGAUCAUUAAUGAGUUAGGGUCAUUCGUGGCCCGACCUCCAACCCUUUGUCGUUCAAAACCAUUGCUGCUUUGGCGGGACAGCCGCGCCUCACGGCGCGGCCGCCGGUCUUCGGCCCGGUGAGCGCCCGCCAGGGUCAAAAACUUAACUCUUGUUUUAACCGUGUCGUCUGAGUAAAAAGUUAAAUCAAUUAAAA
RNAcentral lists this unclassified non-coding RNA (232 nucleotides) under plant metagenome. RNAcentral describes it as "partial contains small subunit ribosomal RNA and internal transcribed spacer 1". The stretch from base 1 to 46 matches the Rfam family "Eukaryotic small subunit ribosomal RNA", at positions 1786 to 1831 of the family's 1831-position model. The record is from RNAcentral.